RNAcentral lists this unclassified non-coding RNA (859 nucleotides) under Hevea brasiliensis (rubber tree). Lineage: Eukaryota; Viridiplantae; Streptophyta; Magnoliopsida; Malpighiales; Euphorbiaceae. The record is from RNAcentral.
AAGCUGAAGGAGGCUAUCAUGCAGGUAAGUUUCAUACUUGAAUAUUAUACUAAACUAAUGCUUGCAAAAUUGAUAGUGUGAAGUUUUCUUUAGUAAUGUUUUGUCAAGUAAUAUAUUAUGCUAAACCUAUAUUUGAUUUCCAGUUAUUAUAGAUAUCUCAGGUGUUUUAUCCUUUGGUUCACUACUUUUUCACCUUUAUUUAUUAUUUUGAUUGUGUGGAGCCUGAAAGUUCUGCCAUCCUCUUGCCUGGUAUGUUGUACUCAUAUGAAGGUGUGCUUGAUUGAAUCACUUAGAUUUGUCAAGAGUUGGGAUGAGGUCUCACAGGUUGUCAAUUUCAGAAGUGUCAAUGUAUGAGUUGCAUGGUUAUUAUACACGUAACCAUCAAUAACAUGAGGACAGUUGAGAGCAGCUGUAAACAACAGAAGGAGAAUUAAUUUAAGUGUGAUGAUUGCUUUCAGUAAUAACUUUUUGGGUGAUUUCUCCACAGACAUCUUCAGUAGAUUGACAAAAAAUGGGUGCAAGAGCAAGUAUAAAUCGAUAGAUUCUCUCCUGGAGAAGUCCUGUCAGCUGUAGCGAAGUUUGAACUGUGAUGUUACUAAUUGUUUCUCCUCUUAAUGGGGUAGCUUAGCAUGGUCUGUUGGUGACUGAUAUGAUAAAAGAUUGCCUUUUCUCCUCUCUGCGUCAAGGUGUUUUAACUUCUUUUGAGAAAUUUAAAGAUUGUGUAUGUUUCUGUUUGUGUACAAGUGAGGAGUUUUACUUUCACCUUUGCAUCCUUUAAUUGGUGGAUACUUCAUUAGUUUGAGAUUGUCAUUGGUGAGGUUUGUCAAACCUUGGCCAUAUUGGAGAUAAAAUGAAAGAG